GAGUUUGAUCCUGGCUCAGAACGAACGCUAUCGGUAUGCUUAACACAUGCAAGUCGAACGGACUAAUUGGGGCUUGCUCCAAUUAGUUAGUGGCAGACGGGUGAGUAACACGUGGGAAUCUACCCAUCAGUACGGAAUAACUUUUAGUAAUAAAAGACUAAUACCGUAUAUUCUCUACGGAAGAAAGAUUUAUUCGCUGAUGGAUGAGCCCGCGUCAGAUUAGGUCGUUGGUGAGGUAACGGCUCACCAAGCCGACGAUCUGUAGCUGGUC
RNAcentral lists this ribosomal RNA (271 nucleotides) under uncultured microorganism. RNAcentral's name for it is "partial 16S ribosomal RNA". It matches the Rfam family "Bacterial small subunit ribosomal RNA", at positions 9 to 292 of the family's 1533-position model. The record is from RNAcentral.